GCCCGGGUCGCCUAGGCGUCGGCUGGGCAAUGGUAGGGCGGUGGGCUCGAGACCCACUGGCGGAGUCCAUGCGGACGCAGUCAACCGCCGCGCGCGUUCAAAUCGCGCCCCGGGCGCCA
Molecule: transfer RNA, 119 nt
Filed under: Candidatus Jordarchaeales archaeon
Lineage: Archaea; Promethearchaeati; Candidatus Jordarchaeia; Candidatus Jordarchaeales
Also listed under: 1 other name
Description: tRNA-Ser
Source: RNAcentral